AAUUCUCAACUCCUCUCGAUCGACUUCGAGUGGAGCUUGGAUGGUGGGGGCUGCCGGAGACCUGAAUAUUCGUGUUCGGGACUCGGGCUCCUCUGAAAUGUAUUGGCUUGCGGUCUGUUUUCGACUUUGCAUGACAAGGCUUUUGGCGUGAUAAUGAUCGCCGCUCGCCGAAGUGCAUGAAUGAAACCGUGCCGUGCCUCUAAUCCGUCGAUGCCUCUAUGGGGCGUCUUCUUUAUGCAU
This 240-nucleotide unclassified non-coding RNA is filed under the name uncultured Suillus. RNAcentral's name for it is "sequence contains ITS2". Lineage: Eukaryota; Fungi; Basidiomycota; Agaricomycetes; Boletales; Suillaceae. The record is from RNAcentral.